RNAcentral lists this transfer RNA (64 nucleotides) under Onisimus nanseni. RNAcentral describes it as "tRNA-Gly". The record is from RNAcentral. Lineage: Eukaryota; Metazoa; Arthropoda; Malacostraca; Amphipoda; Lysianassidae.
UAGACUUUAAGUUAUACUAAACUAAAAGCCUUCCAAGCUUUACAAAAGGGAACCCUUAAGUUUA